CAGUUCGGAUUGAAGGCUGAAAUUCGCCUUCCAUGAAGCCGGAAUUGCUAGUAAUGGCAGGUCAGCAUACUGCCGUGAAUACGUUCCCGGGCCCUUGUACACACCGCCCGUCACACCAUGAGAGUUGGGAAUACCCGAAGCCUGUGAGCUAACUGUAAAGAGGCAGCAGUCGAAGGUAGAAUCAAUGAUUGGGGUGAAGUCGUAACAAGGUAAC
Molecule: ribosomal RNA, 214 nt
Filed under: uncultured bacterium
Lineage: Bacteria
Description: partial 16S ribosomal RNA
Rfam family: Bacterial small subunit ribosomal RNA
Source: RNAcentral